ACGGGAGGCAGCAGUGGGGAAUAUUGCACAAUGGGGGAAACCCUGAUGCAGCAACGCCGCGUGGAGGAUGACACAUUUCGGUGCGUAAACUCCUUUUAUAUAGGAAGAAAAUGACGGUACUAUAUGAAUAAGCGCCGGCUAACUCCGUGCCAGCAGCCGCGGUAAUACGGAGGGCGCAAGCGUUACUCGGAAUCACUGGGCGUAAAGAGCGUGUAGGCGGAUAGAUAAGUUAGGAGUGAAAUCCUAUGGCUCAACCAUAGAACUGCUUCUAAAACUGUCUAUCUAGAGUAUGGGAGAGGUAGAUGGAAUUUCUGGUGUAGGGGUAAAAUCCGUAGAGAUCAGAAGGAAUACCGAUUGCGAAGGCGAUCUACUGGAACAUAACUGACGCUGAGACGCGAAAGCGUGGGGAGCAAACAGGAUUAGAUACCCUGGUAGUCCACGCCCUAAACGAUGUACACUAGUUGUUGCCAUGCUCGACAUGGCAGUAAUGCAGUUAACACAUUAAGUGUACCGCCUGGGGAGUACGGUCGCAAGAUUAAAACUCAAAGGAAUAGACGGGGACCCGCACAAGCGGUGGAGCAUGUGGUUUAAUUCGACGAUACGCGAAGAACCUUACCUGGUCUUGACAUAGUAAGAACCAUUUAGAGAUAGAUGGGUGUCUGCUUGCAGAAGCUUAUAUACAGGUGCUGCACGGCUGUCGUCAGCUCGUGUCGUGAGAUGUUGGGUUAAGUCCCGCAACGAGCGCAACCCUCGUCGUUAGUUGCUAACAGUACGGCUGAGAACUCUAACGAGACUGCCUGGGCAACCAGGAGGAAGGUGAGGACGACGUCAAGUCAUCAUGGCCCUUACGACCAGGGCUACACACGUGCUACAAUGGGGUAUACAAAGAGCAGCAAUACAGUGAUGUG
RNAcentral lists this ribosomal RNA (908 nucleotides) under uncultured bacterium. RNAcentral's name for it is "bacterial SSU rRNA". It matches the Rfam family "Bacterial small subunit ribosomal RNA", at positions 341 to 1264 of the family's 1533-position model. The record is from RNAcentral.